GAUUCAGUCUAUUCAAAUUAAUGUAUAAAUCUUUACAUCUCGAUUCAAAUUCCACUAAGUAUCACAUAGUACAACUUAACAUGUAUUACACAUCGUAAACUACUAUUAUGUACAUCUCCUAGAACCUAAACAUGGUUCAAGGGCAUAUAUUUAAAUAAAUAAAUAAAUCUCCUUCUAUGCUAUUGAACUUUAUCUAUCAAAUAGCAUGUAAUCUUUAUCGUGAGUCCUUAACCU
RNAcentral lists this long non-coding RNA (234 nucleotides) under Panax ginseng (ginseng). RNAcentral describes it as "long non-coding RNA (PGIN_LNC004765)". The record is from RNAcentral. Lineage: Eukaryota; Viridiplantae; Streptophyta; Magnoliopsida; Apiales; Araliaceae.